GGCCCGGCCCGCGCCCUCCCCGGCCCGCGCCCGGCGCGGUGGGUGGGCCCUCGGGCGCCGGCGGGGCCUGCGGGGAGCGGCGGGCGCAGGCCUUGGUGACUCCAACCAUGCAGGACUGCCCUCCCCAGAAGGACCACCCCAGGCCAAAGGGGGGCCUCCCAGCUUCUCUCCUCUGCUCCCCGUGACCUCCGACUGUGUCCCUGACACCUGAGUUGGUGGCAACUUAGGGAGGAGCUCUCUCAGAGGGCCAGGCUGCUUGGGUGAGGGCUCCCGCACCAUGCCGACCAAGGCCACGUGCCUGCGUCACACAGAGGCUCCUGGGCAGCUGGAAGCCAGAAUGCUCAAGGGACGGCUUCCCGGAGCAAACAAAGACCUCCUCCCAAGCCCUGGGGCCCUGCCCACUCCCCACUGCCAGGACCCUGAGAAGAACCCCGUGCCUUCUUUCAGCGAUCCGGCAAAAAUCAGCAGUGAGGACCCCCAAGCCCGGGCAAAACCCACCACCCCUCAGCCCCCCACGAGGCCCAGGCUAGAGCGGACCCUGUCCCUAGAUGAUAAGGGCUGGAGAAGGAGGCGUUUUCCACGGAGCCAGGAGGACCUGGCCACCCAGGGUGGGGCCAGCCCCUACAAGGGCUCCCAGCAGGACAUGGCCCCCCAGGCCCCGGCCCACAGUUGCCCCCCACCCUGCCUGAGCACAUCUUUGCAGGAGAUCCCCAAGCCCCGCAGGGCUGUGGGCAGCGAGAGUGGGAGCCCCUCUUCAUGGGGUAACUGUCUCUCUGGAAUGAUCAGCACCUCCCUGGAGUUGCUGCACAGGGAGGCUGCCCCAGCUGGGAGCUCCCCGAGGCUGGCCAUCCUGUGUCCCCCUCGCCCGCCACCCACCCCGGAUCUGAACGUGGCCUCCAACUCCCCAAGGAUGGCAAACAAGGUUGACUCCGAGCAUGCCGACCACAAGCACCACGCACAGCCCAGGCUAGUACGGGCCCACAGCAGCCUGGGCCCCAGCCGGCCACGGAGCCCCCUGGCCUGUGACACCCACUCCCUUCAUUCAGCCAAGUCUUCCUUCAGCCUCCUGGCGCCCAUCCGCACCAAGGACGUCCGGAGCAGGAGCUACCUGGAGGGGAGUCUCCUGGCCAGUGGGGCCCUGCUAGGGGCAGAUGAGCUGGCCCAGUACUUCCCAGACCGGCACAUGGCCCUCUUUGUGGCCACCUGGAACAUGCAGGGCCAGAAGGAGCUCCCGCCAAGCCUGGAUGAGUUCCUGCUGCCCACCGAGGCCGACUACACCCAGGACUUGUAUGUCAUUGGGGUGCAGGAGGGCUGCUCUGACAGGCGGGAGUGGGAGACACGCCUUCAGGAGACACUGGGCCCCCGCUACGUGCUGCUGUCCUCGGCAGCCCAUGGGGUUCUGUACGUGUCCUUGUUCAUCCGCAGGGACCUCAUCUGGUUCUGCUCAGAGGUGGAGUGCUCCACAGUGACGACGCGCAUCGUGUCCCAGAUAAAGACCAAGGGGGCCCUGGGCGUCAGCUUCACCUUCUUCGGCACCUCCUUCCUCUUCAUCACGUCCCACUUCACCUCUGGUGAUGGGAAGGUGGCCGAGCGGCUGCUGGACUACACCAGAACCAUCCAAGCCCUGGCUCUGCCUAGGAACGUACCAGACACCAACCCCUACCGUUCCAGUGCAGCGGAUGUCACCACCCGGUUCGAUGAGGUGUUCUGGUUUGGAGACUUUAACUUCCGCCUGAGUGGUGGACGCACGGCUGUGGAGGCCAUCCUGAAGCAGGGCCUGGAUGUGGAUGUGCCGGUACUGCUGCAGCAUGACCAGCUCAUCCAGGAGAUGAGGAAAGGGUCCAUCUUCAAGGGCUUCCAGGAACCGGACAUCCACUUCCUCCCAUCAUACAAGUUUGACAUUGGGAAGGACACCUAUGACAGCACCUCCAAACAGAGGACCCCCUCCUACACGGACCGGGUUUUGUACAGAAGCCGCCAUAAGGGCGACAUCUGUCCUGUGAAGUACUCUUCCUGCCCUGGGAUUAAGACAUCUGACCACCGCCCUGUCUAUGGCCUUUUCCGGGUGAAAGUGAGGCCUGGCCGAGAUAACAUUCCACUAGCUGCUGGCAAGUUUGACCGAGAACUGUACUUGAUAGGAAUUAAAAGACGGAUUUCAAAAGAAAUUCAGAAGCAGCAAGCAAUAAAGAAUCCGAUCCCCAGUGCCAUCUGCACCAUUUCCUGAAGUUGUUAGAGGAGGACCUUUGACCUAGAGCGGCUGGAGAAGACUGCAGUGUGUGCUCCUGACACCUGUCAUUCAUUCUAGGGUCCUGAUGCACUGCUACUAGGGCUGCCCUACUUUCUCACCAAGAAACCCCCAGGCCAGACUGUGCAUCCCGGGAAGAAAGCUGCCUUCACUUACUUGGGCAAGCCUGUACUUAAGACUUGUCCCCACAGGCACCUGGGGGGCUUCUCAGGGCCAUGGAACACAAAGGCAGGAAACUGACUCGGCUCGCAACUGCUGACAGUCUUGUCCCAGUCCCUGCUGAGCAUUCCUCCUGCAGGCCAGAGGCAACGCAAGGGGAAGACUCGGGUGGACUGGGCUGAAGCCACAAGCAAUCCCAGCGAACACUAAGACUUCUAUUAAUAUCAGCUUCCAAAAUAUGGGAUAUAAACUUUAAAGCAACGCACCAAUGUUUCUGAUAAAGCGGGAGAGCGCCCACCAUUCCAC
This is an RNA transcript of Urocitellus parryii (Arctic ground squirrel), 2710 nucleotides long. It is a transcript of the gene named inositol polyphosphate-5-phosphatase E, with no coding region annotated. NCBI's taxonomy places the organism in Eukaryota, Metazoa, Chordata, Mammalia, Rodentia, Sciuridae. The record is from RefSeq and is a predicted model, not a curated record.